AUAUAUUAUUAUCGUGUUCUUGUUUCAGGUUUAGCAGAAGAGUUGUUGGCAGUGACCUACCACAUGUAGAAGCACCUGACAAUGUGGAUGCUCCACGGAAUGUUAUGCAGCGGAUGCAAUAGUUUCUUCACUAGUAAGUUAGCGCUAGUUUUUUCUAAUACUUAAAAACAAUUGUUCAUCAUAAGUUGCAGGAAUUGCAUCCUAGCAAUUGUGCGAGAACCAAAGAGGGUUACACCAGAUCGUCUUUACUACAUGAACACAUCAUUGCUAAGUUUACUUACAACCGAAAGGAACCUCAACUAUAGAGGCACACAUUGAAAAGUUUGAUAGGGCUAAUCAAGGUGCAGAAUCAACCAUACCAAGACGAGCAGUUCACUAGCCAGGGAAAAGAUUGAAGUAAUUGUUUUCGAAGAUCUCGACAAACACAAGUGAAGUCGUGGCCAGAGGAACUUUAGUUAAUAAACAUACCACAUAUGUGGUUUGAGGAAGCAUGCUUGGAGAGCAAUAUUUUGGUGUUUCUGUUCAUCACAGCAUUUCAAAUCUUGACGAUGAGAGACUUAUUAGAUUGUAUGGAAAGAAUCCAAUCCAGACAGUAAGGGAUACUAUUGAUUAUGUUAUUGCUUGGCCUCAAUCACAUGUCAAAAAUACCCGAGCCAAUCGCUCCAACAACACUACAAAAACAUUCCUACUCCAACACAACCAGAAAAC
Molecule: long non-coding RNA, 708 nt
Organism: Aegilops tauschii subsp. strangulata
Lineage: Eukaryota; Viridiplantae; Streptophyta; Magnoliopsida; Poales; Poaceae
Source: RefSeq, a predicted model, not a curated record